Molecule: non-coding RNA, 122 nt
Organism: Picea glauca (white spruce)
Lineage: Eukaryota; Viridiplantae; Streptophyta; Pinopsida; Pinales; Pinaceae
Source: Rfam
UCAUGCCUACAACAUAGUGUUAAUGCAUCGAAUCCCAUUAGAACUCUACAGUUAAGCGCGUUUGGGAUAAAGUAGUAUUGGGAUGGGUGACCGCUUGGGAAGUUCCUAAUGUUUUACAUGCC